GAGUUUGAUCAUGGCUCAGAUUGAACGCUGGCGGCAGGCCUAACACAUGCAAGUCGAGCGGAUGACGGGAGCUUGCUCCUUGAUUCAGCGGCGGACGGGUGAGUAAUGCCUAGGAAUCUGCCUGGUAGUGGGGGACAACGUUUCGAAAGGAACGCUAAUACCGCAUACGUCCUACGGGAGAAAGCAGGGGACCUUCGGGCCUUGCGCUAUCAGAUGAGCCUAGGUCGGAUUAGCUAGUUGGUGGGGUAAUGGCUCACCAAGGCGACGAUCCGUAACUGGUCUGAGAGGAUGAUCAGUCACACUGGAACUGAGACACGGUCCAGACUCCUACGGGAGGCAGCAGUGGGGAAUAUUGGACAAUGGGCGAAAGCCUGAUCCAGCCAUGCCGCGUGUGUGAAGAAGGUCUUCGGAUUGUAAAGCACUUUAAGUUGGGAGGAAGGGCAGUAAGUUAAUACCUUGCUGUUUUGACGUUACCGACAGAAUAAGCACCGGCUAACUCUGUGCCAGCCGCC
RNAcentral lists this ribosomal RNA (512 nucleotides) under bacterium enrichment culture clone ALO1_GLFRUDD03GY1H1. RNAcentral describes it as "bacterial SSU rRNA". It matches the Rfam family "Bacterial small subunit ribosomal RNA", at positions 9 to 516 of the family's 1533-position model. The record is from RNAcentral.